RNAcentral lists this ribosomal RNA (467 nucleotides) under uncultured bacterium. Its description in RNAcentral is "partial 16S ribosomal RNA". It matches the Rfam family "Bacterial small subunit ribosomal RNA", at positions 28 to 507 of the family's 1533-position model. The record is from RNAcentral.
GAUGAACGCUGACAGAAUGCUUAACACAUGCAAGUCAACUUGAAUCUGGGUUUUUAACUUCGGUUUGGGUGGCGGACGGGUGAGUAACGCGUAAAGAACUUGCCUCACAGCUAGGGACAACAUUUGGAAACGAAUGCUAAUACCUAAUAUUACGAUAAUAGUGCAUCCUAUAAUUAUGAAAGCUAUAAGCGCUGUGAGAGAGCUUUGCGUCCCACUAGCUAGUUGGAGAGGUAACGGCUCACCAAGGCGAUGAUGGGUAGCCGGCCUGAGAGGGUGAUCGGCCACAAGGGGACUGGGACACGGCCCUUAGGGCUACGUGAGGCAGGAGUGGGGAAUAGUGGACGAUGGACCGCGAGGGUGAUCCAGGAAUUCUGUGUGCAAGAUGAAGUUUUUCGGAAUGUAAAGUGCUUUCAGUUGGGACGGAACAUAUGACGGUACCAACAGAAGAAGUGACGGCUAAAUACGUG